AACGCGUGGGUAACCUGCCUCACACAGGGGGAUAACAGUUAGAAAUGACUGCUAAUACCGCAUAACCCGAUAGGAUCGCAUGAUCCAGACGGAAAAGAUUUAUCGGUGUGAGAUGGACCCGCGUCUGAUUAGCUAGUUGGUGAGGUAACGGCCCACCAAGGCGACGAUCAGUAGCCGGCCUGAGAGGGUGAACGGCCACAUUGGGACUGAGACACGGCCCAAACUCCUACGGGAGGCAGCAGUGGGGAAUAUUGCACAAUGGGGGAAACCCUGAUGCAGCGACGCCGCGUGAGUGAAGAAGUAUUUCGGUAUGUAAAGCUCUAUCAGCAGGGAAGAAAAUGACGGUACCUGACUAA
Molecule: ribosomal RNA, 356 nt
Filed under: uncultured bacterium
Lineage: Bacteria
Description: bacterial SSU rRNA
Rfam family: Bacterial small subunit ribosomal RNA
Source: RNAcentral